GUUGAACGCUGGCGGCGUGCCUUAUACAUGCAAGUCGAGCGAACAGACGAGGAUCUUGCUCCUCGGACGUUAGCGACGGAUGGGUGAGUAAUACGUGGAUAACCUACCUAUAAGACUGGGACAACGUCGGGAAACCUGAUCUAAUAUCGGAUAAUAUAUUGAACCGCAUGGUUCAAUAGUGAACGACGGUUUUGCUGUCACUUAUAGAUGGAUCCGCGCCGCAUUAGCUAGUUGGUAAGGUAACGGCUUACCAAGGCGACGAUGCGUAGCCGACCUGAGAGGGUGACCGGCCACACUGGAACUGAGACACGGUCCAGACUCCUACGGGAGGCAGCAGUAGGGAAUCUUCCGCAAUGGGCGAAAGCCUGACGGAGCCACGCCGCGUGAGUGAUGAAGGUCUUCGGGUCGUAAACCGCUGUUGUUCGGGAAGAACAAAUGUGUAAGUAACUCUGCACGUCUUGACGGUACCUGAUCAGAAAGCAACGGCUAACUACGUG
This 497-nucleotide ribosomal RNA is filed under the name uncultured bacterium. RNAcentral describes it as "partial 16S ribosomal RNA". It matches the Rfam family "Bacterial small subunit ribosomal RNA", at positions 28 to 507 of the family's 1533-position model. The record is from RNAcentral.